ACCCAGUUGUGUCCAUAGCAUUGACAAAUUCAAGAAACAACUUUUGACUUACCUAACACCAUCUCUGAUAUUGCCCUAUGCUAAGCCACUCUCUUCAUCAACAUACUGCAAUCUCUACAACACGAUUUCUGUGAAGGUUGAAUUGCCAAAUAAUGAAAGCUCUGAAG
Ipomoea triloba (trilobed morning glory) is the source of this 167-nucleotide long non-coding RNA. RefSeq lists it as uncharacterized. Lineage: Eukaryota; Viridiplantae; Streptophyta; Magnoliopsida; Solanales; Convolvulaceae. The record is from RefSeq and is a predicted model, not a curated record. The transcript has 2 exons.